This 22-nucleotide non-coding RNA is filed under the name Arabidopsis thaliana (thale cress). The record is from RNAcentral. Lineage: Eukaryota; Viridiplantae; Streptophyta; Magnoliopsida; Brassicales; Brassicaceae.
UCGCAAACUGCGGUAAACUUGC